AUUAUUUGUGCGACUCCUGCACGUGGUGCAGCGGAGACGAGGACGAGAUCGUUUGUACGUGGUGCGGUGGAAACGACGACGAGAUCGUUUGCAUGGACGACAAGGCCUACAAGGUUUGCCUAAAGAAUUCUUGGGAAUGUGGAAAGGACAAACCCU
This 156-nucleotide small nuclear RNA is filed under the name Extubocellulus spinifer. RNAcentral's name for it is "partial Dictyostelium signal recognition particle". Lineage: Eukaryota; Bacillariophyta; Thalassiosirophyceae; Cymatosirales; Cymatosiraceae. The record is from RNAcentral.